GACGAACGCUGGCGGCGUGCCUAAUACAUGCAAGUAGAACGCUGAAGGAGGAGCUUGCUUCUCUGGAUGAGUUGCGAACGGGUGAGUAACGCGUAGGUAACCUGCCUGGUAGCGGGGGAUAACUAUUGGAAACGAUAGCUAAUACCGCAUAAGAGUAGAUGUUGCAUGACAUUUGCUUAAAAGGUGCAAUUGCAUCACUACCAGAUGGACCUGCGUUGUAUUAGCUAGUUGGUGGGGUAACGUCUCACCAAGGGGACGAUAUAUAUUCGACCUGAC
RNAcentral lists this ribosomal RNA (276 nucleotides) under uncultured Streptococcus sp. Its description in RNAcentral is "partial 16S ribosomal RNA". It matches the Rfam family "Bacterial small subunit ribosomal RNA", at positions 28 to 296 of the family's 1533-position model. Lineage: Bacteria; Bacillati; Bacillota; Bacilli; Lactobacillales; Streptococcaceae. The record is from RNAcentral.